This 447-nucleotide ribosomal RNA is filed under the name uncultured bacterium. Its description in RNAcentral is "partial 16S ribosomal RNA". It matches the Rfam family "Bacterial small subunit ribosomal RNA", at positions 29 to 523 of the family's 1533-position model. The record is from RNAcentral.
AACGAACGCUGGCGGCAGGCUUAACACAUGCAAGUCGAGCGCCCCGCAAGGGGAGCGGCAGACGGGUGAGUAACGCGUGGGAAUCUACCGAGCGCUACGUAAUAGCUCCGGGAAACUGGAAUUAAUACCGUAUACGCCCUUCGGGGGAAAGAUUUAUGGGGGUUUGAGGAGCGCGCGUUGGCUUAGCUAGUUGGUGGGGUAAAGGCCUAACAAGGCGACGAUCCAUAGCUGGUCUGAGAGGAUGAUCAGCCACAUUGGGGCAGAGACACGGCCCAAAGUCCUACGGGAGGCAGCAGUGGGGAAUAUUGGACAAUGGGCGCAAGCAUGAUCCAGCCAUGCCGCGUGAGUGAUGAAGGCCCUAGGGUUGUACAGCUCUUUCACCGGUGAAGAUAAUGACGGUAACCGGAGAAGAAGCCCCGGCUAACUUCGUGCCAGCAGCCGCGGUAA